GAGAGGCGAGAUAGUGAAGAGAAAGAUAGAGACAAGGGAAGAGAGAGAGGGGGAGAGAGAAAGAGAGAGAGAGACAGAGAGAGAGAAAUGAAGUAUGGGGAGAGAGAAACAGAGGCAGAGAUAGUGAAAGAGAGAGAUAUAGAAGCAGGGAGAGAGGAAUUGAGAGAGAAAAGACAGAGGGAGAGGGAAGAGAGAGUGAAUCAGGUAGACAGUGAAAGAGAAAGAUAGAGACAAAGGAGGGAGAGAGAGGAGAGACAGGGAGAAAGAGAGAGAUUGAGAAGAGAGAGAAACAGAGCAGAGAUAGUGAAAAAGAUAGAGACAGAGGCAGAGGGAGGGAGAGAGAAGAGAGAAACAGAGGCAAAGAUAGUGUAAGAGACAGAGAUGGAGGGAGAGAAAGAGAAAAGAGAGACAGAAAGAGAGAGGAAAGAGAAACAGAGGCAGAAAUAGUGAAAGAAAAAGACAGAAAGAAGGAGAGGGAGAGAAGAGAGAGGAGAGAGAGAUUGAGAGAGAGGGAAGAGAGAGAAACAGGCAGAGAGAGUGAAAGAGAGAGAGAGAGAGAGAGACAGGGACAGUGGGAAGAGAAAGAAACAGAGACAAAGACAGAGACAGAGACCGUGAAAGAGAGGCAGAGUGAGGAGAGAGAAAUAGAGACAGAGAGAGACAGAGAGUGAGAACAUAGGUGGGAAGAAGAAACGGGGAGGCAGGGAGGGAGACUGAGGGCAGGGAAUCAGUGCCUGCUCUCCCUCUUCUGAAACACACCAGGGAAAGCCCUUUGGGAAUUUACGACGGCAACAACAGGCUAUUGGAGCCACUAUUAUCAUUAUUUUUACAGAUGCUGUAAAAAACCUCAGCAAGUCUCCUGGGAAAUCUGAGUGUCUGUCUUGUGCCUGGGACUGUCUUAGAAGCUGGAGAUGCUGCCGUGAAUGAGACACACCAUCCCUGCCUUCAUGGACCGACUAGAAGCACCUUCUAGUCUUACUUUCUCAUUGAACAGAGGGGAUCUCAUGCAGAAUACCACAUCACAUUUAGUCAUCAUGUCUCAGACUUCUCUUGGCUGUGACAGUUUCACAGGCUUUGUUUUUGAUGACCUUGACGGUUUGGAGGAACAUUGCUCAGGAUCCUGAAAUCAACCAAGGCUGAGUCAGAUGGAUUUCGAUCAAUGGAACCCUUCCUCUCCAGCUCUGGCCACUCCUGGGUGCCCCUUGGGGUUCACUGUCAUGGCAACGGGUCUGUGGAGUGGUGUGGAAGCCGAUCGGGGAAGCUAGGCAGCCAGAACGCUGCCUGGCCUGCCGGCGCCACAGCCAAGGAGGGCGGCCACCUGAUUAAUGCCUGCCUGAUCCAUUGGCCUCAUCUCAGGCCACCCUGGUAGAAGCUUCUUGCUCAGGGAGGGAUGGAGCGUCACUCCUUGGGAUGUGCCAGGACCCUGGUCAGUGGGCACAGUUACAGGUGCCGCAGAGUCUUAGAACUGCCCAAGCAAAAUAUCAGAGCUGAAAGGGACCCUGGAGAUUUGGUAUUCCAGGCGCCUCUCUUUAUGGCUGAACAAAGAAUACAUGGGUAACGAAUGCUUACAGUGUGCCCAACACAGUAUGAAGCUCUUUCCCCACAGGUUAAUUUCUACAAUAACCCCGUGGAAUAAGUAUAAUUAUCCCCAUCAGGGAGGUAGAAACCAGGGCUCAGAGAUAUGAAAUAUUUUGUUCAUGACACACGACGUAUAUUUGCACCCAGGACUUUCCUGUUCCUAUGUUCUUUCUACCGUCUCACUUUACUGAUUGUUUGUCCAGUGCUCUGGAACUUACCUAUCUCAUCCCUGGCUGUAUUUCCUAUGCUUGCACAGUGCCUCACGUGUCUUAGGGUUUUGGUAAAAGAUUGUGGAAUAAAUGAAUUGCU
RNAcentral lists this long non-coding RNA (1887 nucleotides) under Homo sapiens (human). RNAcentral's name for it is "HSALNT0362788". The record is from RNAcentral. Lineage: Eukaryota; Metazoa; Chordata; Mammalia; Primates; Hominidae.